CAGCUCUAACCUGUGUGUGUUCAGAGGUUAAAAUGACCUCACCUCAAAAUGACCUGAGAGUUCAGUGACACAGAGCAGCAGCUGGGAUUGUUCAGAGUCCGCUGCGCUGGAAACUUCAUUUCAUUGGCAUGAACUGUGCUGCGUCAUUUUAACGAAGAAAGACAGACAUAACGGUUUGGAACGACAUGAUGUGCAGGAGAUGAAACGGCAGACUGCCAGAGCUGUUUUUCUUCAUCUGAGGUCUGGAAAACAUGAUCUACUCAGAUUACACUCACCCCCAAAACACACAGCUCCAGUACCCACGUGCUUUCAGGAAAUACACAAACACACACACACACAGGCAAACAGACACCCUUGAGUCUUGCCAUCUGUAUACAUACCUACAGUAUAUGUCCAUAGACACCUCACACCACUUCCAUUGCAGACAAACACAUACUUAAGGUUUAUUAUUAUUAUUAUUAUUAUUAUUAUUAAUAACAAUAACAAUAUUAUUUUUGUGUUUGUAUUUCUUUUUAUGUAUUUAUGAAUUUCAGGAUUUCCUGAAAUCAAGAAUAUCACCUAA
Molecule: long non-coding RNA, 562 nt
Organism: Ctenopharyngodon idella (grass carp)
Lineage: Eukaryota; Metazoa; Chordata; Actinopteri; Cypriniformes; Xenocyprididae
Exons: 3
Source: RefSeq, a predicted model, not a curated record